This 891-nucleotide small RNA is filed under the name Paraphaeosphaeria neglecta. Its description in RNAcentral is "eukaryotic LSU rRNA". It matches the Rfam family "Eukaryotic large subunit ribosomal RNA", at positions 50 to 959 of the family's 3401-position model. Lineage: Eukaryota; Fungi; Ascomycota; Dothideomycetes; Pleosporales; Didymosphaeriaceae. The record is from RNAcentral.
GCGGAGGAAAAGAAACCAACAGGGAUUGCCCUAGUAACGGCGAGUGAAGCGGCAACAGCUCAAAUUUGAAAUCUGGCUCUCUUUGGGGGUCCGAGUUGUAAUUUGCAGAGGAUGCUUUGGCAUUGGCGGCGGUCUAAGUUCCUUGGAACAGGACAUCACAGAGGGUGAGAAUCCCGUACGUGGUCGCCUGCCCUUGCCGUGUAAAGCUCCUUCGACGAGUCGAGUUGUUUGGGAAUGCAGCUCUAAAUGGGAGGUAAAUUUCUUCUAAAGCUAAAUACUGGCCAGAGACCGAUAGCGCACAAGUAGAGUGAUCGAAAGAUGAAAAGUACUUUGGAAAGAGAGUCAAAAAGCACGUGAAAUUGUUGAAAGGGAAGCGCUUGCAGCCAGACUUGCCCGCAGUUGCUCACCUAGGCUUUCGCCUGGGGCACUCUUCUGCGGGCAGGCCAGCAUCAGUUUGGGCGGUUGGAUAAAGGCCUCUGUCACGUAUCUCCCUUCGGGGUGACCUUAUAGGGGAGGCGUAAUGCAACCAGCCCGGACUGAGGUCCGCGCAUCUGCUAGGAUGCUGGCGUAAUGGCUGUAAGCGGCCCGUCUUGAAACACGGACCAAGGAGUCUAACAUCUAUGCGAGUGUUUGGGUGUCAAGCCCGAGCGCGUAAUGAAAGUGAACGGAGGUGGGAACCUUUUAGGUGCACCAUCGACCGAUCCUGAUGUCUUCGGAUGGAUUUGAGUAAGAGCAUAGCUGUUGGGACCCGAAAGAUGGUGAACUAUGCUUGAAUAGGGUGAAGCCAGAGGAAACUCUGGUGGAGGCUCGCAGCGGUUCUGACGUGCAAAUCGAUCGUCAAAUUUGGGCAUAGGGGCGAAAGACUAAUCGAACCUCUAGUAGCUGGUCUGC